RNAcentral lists this ribosomal RNA (705 nucleotides) under uncultured bacterium. RNAcentral describes it as "bacterial SSU rRNA". It matches the Rfam family "Bacterial small subunit ribosomal RNA", at positions 97 to 820 of the family's 1533-position model. The record is from RNAcentral.
GGCGGACGGGUGAGUAACGCGUGGAUAACCUGCCUCAUACAGGGGGAUAACAGUUAGAAAUGACUGCUAAUACCGCAUAAGCGCACAGGACCGCAUGGUCCGGUGUGAAAAACUCCGGUGGUAUGGGAUGGAUCCGCGUCUGAUUAGCCAGUUGGCGGGGUAACGGCCCACCAAAGCGACGAUCGGUAGCCGGCCUGAGAGGGCGGACGGCCACAUUGGGACUGAGACACGGCCCAAACUCCUACGGGAGGCAGCAGUGGGGAAUAUUGCACAAUGGGGGAAACCCUGAUGCAGCGACGCCGCGUGAGUGAAGAAGUAUUUCGGUAUGUAAAGCUCUAUCAGCAGGGAAGAAAAUGACGGUACCUGACUAAGAAGCCCCGGCUAACUACGUGCCAGCAGCCGCGGUAAUACGUAGGGGGCAAGCGUUAUCCGGAUUUACUGGGUGUAAAGGGAGCGUAGACGGCGCUGCAAGUCCGGAGUGAAAGCCCAUGGCUUAACCAUGGUACUGCUCUGGAAACUGUGGAGCUUGAGUGCGGGAGGGGCAGGCGGAAUUCCUAGUGUAGCGGUGAAAUGCGUAGAUAUUAGGAGGAACACCGGCGGCGAAGGCGGCCUGCUGGACCGUAACUGACGUUGAGGCUCGAAAGCGUGGGGAGCAAACAGGAUUAGAUACCCUGGUAGUCCACGCCGUAAACGAUGAUUACUAGG